CCACGUUCUUUUAAGAUUUUUGUUUACACUCAUGGAAAUACAAAACAAAAAUAUAAACGAUUUUUAUUCUAUCAGUAUUAAACUAUAAAACAAUUGUGCCUGAACUUGAAUUCAAAUCCAUAGUCGUAAUGUACUAAAUAUAUAAUUUAAUUUGCUCUCAUUUUAUGGAAUUAUAUUGGCACUCAUCAUGAAGCAGAUUUUAAUACGCAUAUGGCAAUGAAUUACAUUUUAUUUUUUUACUUUUGUUCAUAUUUAAUCCAGAUUUCUAUUUCAUUUCGAUUACAUUUUUGUGUUACACAGACUUAUUAUAGACAUAUAAAAAAAAGAAAUGAAAUAUUGCAAUAGUUUAGUGUUUGGUUUAGCUAUUGCUAGUUUAAGUGUAGUUGUUUAUAUUAUUGGUGGCAUAUUUUUUACUACACUCUUAAUCAAUUCCGAAAGAAAUUUGCAACAUAGCAAUACUUUGCCAAUUAUAUUUCUAGUCAUAUGUUUGGUAAUGUCUAUGGUUUCCAGUUUACUUAUUUUUGGCAUAGUUAAGAAACGGCAUUUAUUGAUGAUUCCUUGGAUUAUUUUGGCUAUUGUUGGCAUUAUAUGUGAUGUUAUAUAUUUAAUCAUAAUUUUAUCUAUUGGUAGCAGAGAACAUAUGCUAGUGGAAUCUAUUUCAUAUUUAAUUGGUAUAGCUCUACAAAUAUUAAUUUUCCACCACAUAUUUGUUUUAUAUAAAGAUAUACGUCUAAAGUAUUUUAUUCAACAAGAACAUGAAAUCAUAUGGAGAAAUAAUCAACAAUUGACGGAGAAUUAUUAAUGCCUAAAAGAAAUACUGUCACGUAUAGUUUAGCUUAGCUAUAAUAAUAAUUAUUAAAUUAUUUUGAAUAUAACAAUGUCUGUUUAAACAAUUUUGAACAUUCUUAUAUCACCCCCAAAAUUUAUAAUUAUAAAAACCACAUUUAAUGAAGUUUUUAAUUGUGUUAAAUUUUAUGUUUUUUUUUUUCUGGAUUAUACUUUGUUAUAUGUAUGUGUAUUGACUUAAUGUUGGAAUUUAAUUAUAAAUAUUCUUAUAUACAUAGUAACUCAUAAU
This is a long non-coding RNA of Calliphora vicina (urban bluebottle blowfly), 1075 nucleotides long. RefSeq lists it as uncharacterized. Lineage: Eukaryota; Metazoa; Arthropoda; Insecta; Diptera; Calliphoridae. The record is from RefSeq and is a predicted model, not a curated record. The transcript is spliced from 3 exons.